GAGUUUGAUCCUGGCUCAGAUUGAACGCUGGCGGCAUGCCUUACACAUGCAAGUCGAACGGCAGCACGGGAGCUUGCUCCUGGUGGGCGAGUGGCGAACGGGUGAGUAAUGCAUCGGAACGUAUCCUGGAGUGGGGGAUAACGUAGCGAAAGUUACGCUAAUACCGCAUAUUCUGUGAGCAGGAAAGCGGGGGACCUUCGGGCCUCGCGCUCUUGGAGCGGCCGAUGUCGGAUUAGCUAGUUGGUGAGGUAAGGGCUCACCAAGGCGACGAUCCGUAGCAGGUCUGAGAGGAUGAUCUGCCACACUGGAACUGAGACACGGUCCAGACUCCUACGGGAGGCAGCAGUGGGGAAUUUUGGACAAUGGGGGCAACCCUGAUCCAGCCAUGCCGCGUGAGUGAAGAAGGCC
RNAcentral lists this ribosomal RNA (408 nucleotides) under bacterium enrichment culture clone ALO1_GLFRUDD03FLNSH. Its description in RNAcentral is "bacterial SSU rRNA". It matches the Rfam family "Bacterial small subunit ribosomal RNA", at positions 9 to 416 of the family's 1533-position model. The record is from RNAcentral.